UCUAUGGCCAUACCACCCUGAACACGCCCGAUCCUGUCUGAUCUCCGAAGCUAAGCAGGGUUGGGCCUGCUUAGUACUUGGCUGGGAGAAAACUAGAGUCAGAAGAA
This 107-nucleotide ribosomal RNA is filed under the name Propithecus coquereli (Coquerel's sifaka). Lineage: Eukaryota; Metazoa; Chordata; Mammalia; Primates; Indriidae. The record is from RNAcentral.